AAAAAACAACUCAAAAAACUCCCGAAUAGCACCUGUCACCUUAGAAUAUCAAUACGAAUAAAAAAUCAAAAAUUCACAUUUUCUCGUGACUGCCAAAAAAUAUCAAAAUAUUUCAUUGGUCAACGUCCAAAAGUAUAAAAAUCUAGAAAAAGACAUCAAAACACCUCAAAAAAUUCCCGAAUUGCACCAAUCACCUUAGAAUAUCGAUACGAAUAAAAUCACAUUUUCCUGUGACUGCCCCAAAAAUAUCAAUAUUUUUAAUUUGUACUCCCUCCGUCC
RNAcentral lists this long non-coding RNA (279 nucleotides) under Solanum tuberosum (potato). Its description in RNAcentral is "long non-coding RNA (STUB_LNC007191)". Lineage: Eukaryota; Viridiplantae; Streptophyta; Magnoliopsida; Solanales; Solanaceae. The record is from RNAcentral.